UACGUAGGGGGCUAGCGUUGUCCGGAUUUAUUGGGCGUAAAGAGCUCGUAGGUGGUUUGUCGCGUUGUCCGUGAAAACUCACAACUCAAUUGUGGGCGUGCGGGCGAUACGGGCAGACUGGAGUACUGCAGGGGAGACUGGAAUUCCUGGUGUAGCGGUGGAAUGCGCAGAUAUCAGGAGGAACACCGGUGGCGAAGGCGGGUCUCUGGGCAGUAACUGACGCUGAGGAGCGAAAGCGUGGGGAGCGAACAGG
RNAcentral lists this ribosomal RNA (253 nucleotides) under uncultured bacterium. RNAcentral describes it as "partial 16S ribosomal RNA". It matches the Rfam family "Bacterial small subunit ribosomal RNA", at positions 524 to 776 of the family's 1533-position model. The record is from RNAcentral.